This 407-nucleotide ribosomal RNA is filed under the name uncultured prokaryote. Its description in RNAcentral is "bacterial SSU rRNA". It matches the Rfam family "Bacterial small subunit ribosomal RNA", at positions 355 to 776 of the family's 1533-position model. RNAcentral also lists the same sequence under 1 other name. The record is from RNAcentral.
UGGGGAAUAUUGGGCAAUGGGCGAAAGCCUGACCCAGCAACGCCGCGUGAAGGAAGAAGGCCUUCGGGUUGUAAACUUCUUUUACCAGGGACGAACACAAUGACGGUACCUGGAGAAAAAGCAACGGCUAACUACGUGCCAGCAGCCGCGGUAAUACGUAGGUUGCAAGCGUUGUCCGGAAUUACUGGGUGUAAAGGGCGUGUAGGCGGAGAUGCAAGUUGGGAGUGAAAUCCAUGGGCUCAACCCAUGAACUGCUUUCAAAACUGCAUCCCUUGAGUAUCGGAGAGGCAAGCGGAAUUCCUAGUGUAGCGGUGAAAUGCGUAGAUAUUAGGAGGAACACCAGUGGCGAAGGCGGCUUGCUGGACGACAACUGACGCUGAGGCGCGAAAGCGUGGGGAGCAAACAGG